CAGUGCUGAGCCAUGGAAGUUAGAUCCUGCCGAACAAAGUCCUCCGGAUAGCUUACUUAUUGCAGACGCUGCUCAGAUCAGAGGCCUUCAUCCUCAGUGUUUCAAACAAGCUCUUCAUUUAUUUUCUCUGUCAUGCCCACAUGCUGUCUGAAGCUGCAUUAGAGAAAGGUAUUUUCAGAGCGAACACUCAGCUGUAUGAGGAAACAGCAGGGGAGAGAACUUCUGAGGAACCUUAAUGAGGGGAUUUCAGUGGAUUCUGUGCUGCAGUCGAACCCAAAAAUUAAUUCGGACAAGCGGCGAGAAGCAGUGGAUGUAAGCAAACCUCCUGGAGCAAUAAGAUCUGCCUGAUGGGGCUCCUCCAGAACCAGAACCAGUCUCUGGUCUUGUCUCAACCAGAGGUCAUCCACUUGGAGUCCACAGCACAACAAUCAGCUGUAAACAACAUUGUCAUCGUGCUGUGUGUGUUGAUCUUCAUCCUCCAGCUGUGUUUAGCUCUGUUCUUCAUGCUGAGAUGUUGUAGGUAUGACAACAGAAUACGAGAGGCUCUCAAACAGCCGACCGCUGUUAAAAAAAUCCUUGGCAUUUAUAAAGAGUCCAGGGAUCAACUUUAUGAUGCUGCUGGUUCUUCAUCACCUGCCAUGUCAGCAGUGGAGGAAAGUUAUGAGGAGCCCACAGCUUCUUUGCGUGCACCGCACAUAUACUGGGACCUUGUUCAGUAGUCACGUGUCUAACAGUUCAACCAGGCUCUAAACAGUGUUAAUGAAACUGUAAAUGUCCGUUUAAUCUAUUAAAUAUGUAAAGUAUGGAAAUGUUUUGUUUUUAGAGUAUUAAAGGAAUACAAGCAACUGAU
Long non-coding RNA from Oreochromis aureus, 850 nucleotides. RefSeq lists it as uncharacterized. The record is from RefSeq and is a predicted model, not a curated record. The transcript has 4 exons. NCBI's taxonomy places the organism in Eukaryota, Metazoa, Chordata, Actinopteri, Cichliformes, Cichlidae.